UUGACCUCGGAUCAGGUAGGGAUACCCGCUGAACUUAAGCAUAUCAAUAAGCGGAGGAAAAGAAACCAACAGGGAUUGCCUUAGUAACGGCGAGUGAAGCGGCAACAGCUCAAAUUUGAAAUCUGGUCCCUUGGGGCCCGAGUUGUAAUUUGUAGAGGAUGUUUCGGGUACCGCCCCGUUCUAAAUUUCUUGGAACAGGAUGUCAAAGAGGGUGAGAACCCCGUCUUGGAUCGGCGGUAGGGCCCAUGUGAAACUCCUUCGACGAGUCGAGUUGUUUGGGAAUGCAGCUCAAAAUGGGUGGUAAAUUUCAUCUAAAGCUAAAUAUUGGCCAGAGACCGAUAGCGCACAAGUAGAGUGAUCGAAAGAUGAAAAGCACUUUGAAAAGAGAGUUAAACAGUAUGUGAAAUUGUUGAAAGGGAAGCGCUUGCAACCAGACUUGAGCGCGGCGGUUCCCCCUUCCUUCUGGUUGGGUUACUCCGCCGUGUCCAGGCCAACAUCGGUUUUGGUGGUCGGUCAAAGGCCCCGGGAAUGUACCUACCCUCCGGGGUCGGCUUAUAGCCCGGGGUGUCAUGCGGCCUACCGGGACCGAGGAACGCGCCUCUGGCGAGGAUGUUGGCGUAAUGGUUGUAAGCGACCCGUCUUGAAACACGGACCAAGGAGUCUAACAUCUAUGCGAGUGUUAGGGUGUCAAACCCUUGCGCGGAAUGAAAGUGAACGGAGGUAGGAAGCCUUGAGGCUGCACUAUCGACCGAUCCUGAUGUCUUCGGAUGGAUUUGAGUAAGAGCAUAGCUGUUGGGACCCGAAAGAUGGUGAACUAUGCCUGAAUAGGGUGAAGCCAGAGGAAACUCUGGUGGAGGCUCGCAGCGGUUCUGACGUGCAAAUCGAUCGUCAAAUUUGGGUAUAGGGGCGAAAGACUAAUCGAACCAUUGAGUGGGAUGCUGCAUCGGCCACGCUCUCUCGAACACGCGUAAACGCGGGGUGUUGGGGGGGUUGGCUGAUGGUUAAAGACAAGACAUCUUACCGCAGCUACUAGGUGGUUAAGUGUCAACUAAAAGGGUUGGCAAGUGCCUGUUUCCGGUGCGACAUUGUCAAAUUGCGGGGACCUCCUAAAGCUCAAGCUACCAAGCCUACGCUCGAAAGACGUGGGUGGCCGGGGUAAUGACCUAGGGUACGGUAACAACGCUUGAGAUGCUGGCUCCAGUCAAGUUUCAGCGCAAUGGAAAAUCCGCAGCCAAGUUCUAAUGACCCUCCCAAGGACCCGACGGUCCUCGCGGGGGUACGAAUGCAGUUCACAGACUAGAUGGCAAUGGGCCCUCGCAUGCGGGGGCUUAAGGUAUAGUCGGGCCCCCGGGGAGACCCGGGCGCAUACGCUAAAUCCACCGUGGGAGGAAAACCUCCGGUUGACGGAGACCCCGGUGGACCUGAACGGUGCGGCUGCCCCUAGAGGCAGUGAAUUUAAC
RNAcentral lists this ribosomal RNA (1460 nucleotides) under Chaetothyriales sp. M-Cre1-1. RNAcentral's name for it is "eukaryotic LSU rRNA". It matches the Rfam family "Eukaryotic large subunit ribosomal RNA", at positions 1 to 1119 of the family's 3401-position model. The record is from RNAcentral. Lineage: Eukaryota; Fungi; Ascomycota; Eurotiomycetes; Chaetothyriales.